AAAAGAGAAAGAACAACAACAACAAAAAAAGCAGUAAUACUGGGUGGUUGAUUUGUUUUUAGCAGACUUGGCUUCAUUUUUGUCUUUACAAAAUGGCCAGCAUAAAUGCUGUUUAUAUUCACGUUUUCCUAGGUGUGUGUGUGCAGGCCACAGCAGCAUGCCCUUGGUGUAGUCAGUGCCGAAGGGGGCCUGUUCCUUCUUGAGCCUGCCCGCAGGGAUGGUCUCCUCUUUUAAAGCAGGUUGUGUACAACUUUCAGUACACUGAAGGCAUAAACCUUCCACUCUUGAACAAAGCAGCUGCUUUUUAAAAGCGAGAAAAAGGGAAGCGAGGCACAGGCCACUCAACGCCUACUCCAUGGGUCUGAUUUGCUGAGACACCAACUUCACCUUCCUAACAAGGUGCAGCUCACAGGAAGAUGAUGGCUACCAGAAGACAUGACCAAAGGGUAAGUGGCAGUAAACCUCUGAAGAACUUUUAUGUGUCUCUGAGCAGAGCAGGCUGUGGUGCCACCAGCAAUAGAGCUAUAAGCUGCAGUAUGUGUGGAGCUGUAACAUGGACAGAGGAUGCUGGGAAUUGGCAAGUGCUUGAAGUUAAU
Molecule: long non-coding RNA, 596 nt
Organism: Indicator indicator
Lineage: Eukaryota; Metazoa; Chordata; Aves; Piciformes; Indicatoridae
Exons: 5
Source: RefSeq, a predicted model, not a curated record